Thrips palmi is the source of this 671-nucleotide long non-coding RNA. RefSeq lists it as uncharacterized. The record is from RefSeq and is a predicted model, not a curated record. The transcript has 4 exons. Lineage: Eukaryota; Metazoa; Arthropoda; Insecta; Thysanoptera; Thripidae.
AGCCCGCCGAGCCGGGCUAGCCGUCAAGCCGGCGGCGGCGCGAGCCCCGGUUUUUUUUGGCGCGCUUUUUCCGCCCCGAGGACACCAGCACCUUCUUCGUGGGCACCGCCUUGGGCACGCCCAGGGAAGCACCCGGAGGCCCCGCAGGGGCGCCAAGUGUUUGUGUCUGUGUUGUGAGUGAAGUGAAAACCCGUGCAAGGAUAACCUCAAGAACCUGGACUUCCUCCUGCUUCGUCCCGGGAUCUCACUCAAGGUGAUGGAAGUAACUGCAGGACAAGGUGACGGUUGAGGGAUGAGCGUGAUCACCGCCAUCAAGGAGGCCGACAUGUCGCCGACCAAAGAUUUCCUUCGGAAUAUGACGUAGCGACGUGCUGCCCCCGACGUUGCAAAUCGAUGCGGCCGGCGCACCGCAGGCCCCAGGCAGCCCCAGCAGCCCCAGCAGCCCCAGCAGCCCCGGGCCACAGCCGCUGCUGCCACUGCCGCUGCUCCAGGCCGAGGCCGCUCAGCCUGACGGGACGCCACUCUGCCCCGGCCGCCCCCGCCGUCCCGCCGUCAAGUUAUUUUUUGCGACGAAAAGUCGCUAAAACGAGAGGCGUCCUGACGCAGCCGCGGCGCCAGCGACAGCGGCAACCUCAGGGGCAGCCUCAGCGACAGCGGCCCUCGCCAGGCUA